This 383-nucleotide ribosomal RNA is filed under the name uncultured bacterium. RNAcentral's name for it is "bacterial SSU rRNA". It matches the Rfam family "Bacterial small subunit ribosomal RNA", at positions 30 to 416 of the family's 1533-position model. The record is from RNAcentral.
AUUGAACGCUGGCGGCAUGCCUUACACAUGCAAGUCGAACGGCAGCGGGCCUUCGGGUGCCGGCGAGUGGCGAACGGGUGAGUAAUGCAUCGGAACGUGCCAUUGAGUGGGGGAUAACGUAGCGAAAGUUACGCUAAUACCGCAUAUUCUGUGAGCAGGAAAGCAGGGGACCGCAAGGCCUUGCGCUCUUUGAGCGGCCGAUGUCAGAUUAGCUAGUUGGUGAGGUAAAGGCUUACCAAGGCGACGAUCUGUAGCGGGUCUGAGAGGAUGAUCCGCCACACUGGAACUGAGACACGGUCCAGACUCCUACGGGAGGCAGCAGUGGGAAUUUGGACAAUGGGCGCAAGCCUGAUCCAGCCAUGCCCGCGUGAGUGAAGAAGGCC